AUGCCGCCGCCACCGCCGCCAACAGUGCCAUACACACACAACUACGUUGGUGGUGUCCCGUGGCACAACCUGACGGUUGAAUCAUCAUCGCGCGUUCUUCCCUUCGAUCAACAAAAGAAGAGUUAUGUCAUCUCGCGGCUCUACAUGGUGCUCCAAUCGCCAUCAUAG
This 168-nucleotide ribosomal RNA is filed under the name Triticum aestivum (bread wheat). RNAcentral describes it as "partial small subunit ribosomal RNA". Lineage: Eukaryota; Viridiplantae; Streptophyta; Magnoliopsida; Poales; Poaceae. The record is from RNAcentral.